AUUGAACGCUGGCGGCAGGCCUAACACAUGCAAGUCGAGCGCUUCGCGGACGGGUGAGUAAUUUCUGGGAAACUGCCUGAUGUAGGGGUCUAACUACUGGAAACUGUAUCUACUACCGCAUACCAUCAGAUUUGCCCAGAUGGGAUUAGCUGGUUGGUGGUGUAACGGCUCACCAGGGCGACGAUCCCUAGCUGGUCUGAGAGGAGGACCAGCCACACUGGAACUGAGACACGGUCCAGACUCCUACGGGAGGCAGCAGUGGGGAAUAUUGCACAAUGGGCGCAAGCCUGAUGCAGCCAUGCCGCGUGUAUGAAGAAGGCCUUCGGGUUGUAAAGUACUUUCAGCGGGGAGGCGUUACCCGCAGAAGAAGAACCGGCUAACUCCGUGCCAGUCGCCGCGGUAAUAC
Molecule: ribosomal RNA, 406 nt
Filed under: uncultured bacterium
Lineage: Bacteria
Description: partial 16S ribosomal RNA
Rfam family: Bacterial small subunit ribosomal RNA
Source: RNAcentral